Molecule: ribosomal RNA, 460 nt
Filed under: uncultured bacterium
Lineage: Bacteria
Description: partial 16S ribosomal RNA
Rfam family: Bacterial small subunit ribosomal RNA
Source: RNAcentral
CCUACGGGUGGCAGCAGUGAGGAAUAUUGGUCAAUGGACGAGAGUCUGAACCAGCCAAGUAGCGUGAAGGAUGACUGCCCUAUGGGUUGUAAACUUCUUUUAUCUGGGAAUAAAAUGUUCCACGUGUGGGAUUUUGUAUGUACCAUAUGAAUAAGGAUCGGCUAACUCCGUGCCAGCAGCCGCGGUAAUACGGAGGAUCCGAGCGUUAUCCGGAUUUAUUGGGUUUAAAGGGAGCGUAGGCGGAUUGUUAAGUCAGUUGUGAAAGGUUGGGGCUCAACCGUGAAAUUGCAGUUGAAACUGGCAGUCUUGAGUACAGUAGAGGUAGGCGGAAGUCGUGGUGUAGCGGUGAAAUGCUUAGAUAUCGCGAAGAAAUCCGAUUGCGAAGGCAGCACACUGGACUGCAACUGACACUGAGGCUCGAAAGCGUGGGUAUCAAACAGGAUUAGAUACCCGAGUAGUC